Molecule: ribosomal RNA, 463 nt
Filed under: uncultured organism
Description: bacterial SSU rRNA
Rfam family: Bacterial small subunit ribosomal RNA
Source: RNAcentral
GAUGAACGCUAGCGGUGUGCUUAAAGCAUGCAAGUCGAACGUGAUCCCCUGGAUUCGUCUGGGGGUGAAAGUGGCGAACGGGUGAGUAACGCGUUGGUGAUCUGCCCCGGAGUGGGGAAUAACUAUUGGAAACGAUAGCUAAUACCCCAGAUGUCAUUGUCUUUGGAAAGCGAUGACUAAAGUUCAGGCGCUCCGGGAGGAGCCUGCGUCCCAUCAGCUAGUUGGUAAGGUAAUGGCUUACCAAGGCUAAGACGGGUAGGGGGCGUGAGAGCGUGACCCCCCACACUGGUACUGACACACGGACCAGAUACCUACGGGUAGCAGCAGCUAGGAAUAUUGGGCAAUGGGCGCAAGCCUGACCCAGCAACACCGCGUGGAGGACGAAGGCCUUCGGGUCGUAAACUCCUUUUCUGGGGGAUGAGAAAGGACGGUACCCCAGGAAUAAGGCCCGGCUAACUACGUG